This 793-nucleotide ribosomal RNA is filed under the name Clathrina ramosa. RNAcentral's name for it is "eukaryotic LSU rRNA". The stretch from base 321 to 474 matches the Rfam family "5.8S ribosomal RNA". Lineage: Eukaryota; Metazoa; Porifera; Calcarea; Clathrinida; Clathrinidae. The record is from RNAcentral.
GAAGUAAAAGUCGUAACAAGGUUUCNGUAGGUGANCNUGCGGAAGGAUCAUUACCGAUUCUAAUACCUCAAUCACUGUGCACUCGGUCGCUGUACGCAACUCCUUUCGGGGUGAGAGUCUGUCUGUCUGACUCUCUUAAAUCGGUCUGGCGCGCGCGAGCGCGUGUUUCCGAGCCCCGACUGGAGACCUGUGUGCAGCGGUUUUUCACCGCUUCGCUUCGUGCGAGGCGUUCUUGAAACCCUUUUUCAACCUUGCAAUCUUGCAGACUGUACUGUCGGGCUUUCUAACGAAAGCUUGUACUUGAUUUUGAAAUCAUGGACAACUUUCAACGGUGGAUCUCUUGGCUCGUGGAUCGAUGAAGAACGCAGCAAAACGCGAUAUGUAGUGUGAAUUGCAGAAUUCAGUGAAUCAUCGAAUCUUUGAACGCAAAUGGCGCCCCUGGGUAUUCCCAGGAGCAUGUCUGUCUCAGUGUCGUUUUCACCUCGAGCACGCUUCGGCGUGGUGGUCAUGAGGCGUCUGAGAAGCCCUGGUUGCUCUCAGUCCCUUGAAAUAGAGUGGCCGGACAGUAGUGUGCUUUUCGGGUCGGUUCGUCUCGAAUUAAGCUCGCACGGCUGAUGGUGAGAUUCCUCGUAAUCUCCCUUGUCGUGUCGCAGCGAUCGGGUGGAGCCUGACUCGGAUGUAUAGCCCUGUGUCCGAAUCAAGCCAGUUCUGGAAAACAACGCUUAUUCUUUCAGUCGAAGGAGUAAACAUCUUCGACCUGAGAUCAGGCAAGACUACCCGCUGAAUUUAAGCA